AACGAACGCUGGCGGCAGGCUUAACACAUGCAAGUCGAACGCCCCGCAAGGGGAGUGGCAGACGGGUGAGUAACGCGUGGGAAUCUACCCAACUCUACGGAAUAACUCAGGGAAACUUGUGCUAAUACCGUAUACGCCCUUCGGGGGAAAGAUUUAUCGGAGUUGGAUGAGCCCGCGUUGGAUUAGCUAGUUGGUGGGGUAAAGGCCUACCAAGGCGACGAUCCAUAGCUGGUCUGAGAGGAUGAUCAGCCACAUUGGGACUGAGACACGGCCCAAACUCCUACGGGAGGCAGCAGUGGGGAAUAUUGGACAAUGGGCGCAAGCCUGAUCCAGCCAUGCCGCGUGAGUGAUGAAGGCCCUAGGGUUGUAAAGCUCUUUCACCGGUGAAGAUAAUGACGGUAACCGGAGAAGAAGCCCCGGCUAACUUCGUGCCAGCAGCCGCGGUAAUACGAAGGGGGCUAGCGUUGUUCGGAAUUACUGGGCGUAAAGCGCACGUAGGCGGGUAUUUAAGUCAGGGGUGAAAUCCCAGAGCUCAACUCUGGAACUGCCUUUGAUACUGG
RNAcentral lists this ribosomal RNA (560 nucleotides) under uncultured bacterium. RNAcentral describes it as "bacterial SSU rRNA". It matches the Rfam family "Bacterial small subunit ribosomal RNA", at positions 28 to 636 of the family's 1533-position model. The record is from RNAcentral.